GGGUGUGUGGAACCUUCUGGACCACUAUUUGAGCUUUUGUUAAUAUUCUUGUGAUGAGUGCUAUAUUCUGAAAACUAUGUAUUAUUUAUACGAUAUUAGGAUAUUGGAUUAAUAUUUUGUUAUGUGUGUAUCAACUUAUCAUAUACUGUAUACUGGUGAAUACUAAGUUCGCUACAUUAUGUAUUAUUUUAUCUGAAGUAUGUAUUGGAUCAUU
This 214-nucleotide long non-coding RNA is filed under the name Elaeis guineensis (African oil palm). RNAcentral's name for it is "long non-coding RNA (EGUI_LNC027345)". The record is from RNAcentral. Lineage: Eukaryota; Viridiplantae; Streptophyta; Magnoliopsida; Arecales; Arecaceae.